UACGGAGGGUGCAAGCGUUAUCCGGAUUCACUGGGUUUAAAGGGUGCGUAGGAGGGCAGGUAAGUCAGAGGUGAAAUCUCCGAGCUUAACUCGGAAACUGCCUUUGAUACUAUCUGUCUUGAAUAUUGUGGAGGUGAGCGGAAUAUGUCAUGUAGCGGUGAAAUGCUUAGAUAUGACAUAGAACACCAAUUGCGAAGGCAGCUCGCUACACAUAUAUUGACUCUGAGGCACGAAAGCGUGGGGAUCAAACAGGAUUAGAAACCCCCGUAGUCC
RNAcentral lists this ribosomal RNA (273 nucleotides) under uncultured bacterium. RNAcentral describes it as "partial 16S ribosomal RNA". It matches the Rfam family "Bacterial small subunit ribosomal RNA", at positions 524 to 796 of the family's 1533-position model. The record is from RNAcentral.